ACCCGCUGAACUUAAGCAUAUCAAUAAGCGGAGGAAAAGAAAACCAACAGGGAUUGCCCUAGUAACGGCGAGUGAAGCGGCAACAGCUCAAAUUUGAAAUCUGGCGUCUUUGGCGUCCGAGUUGUAAUUUGCAGAGGGCGCUUUGGCAUUGGCAGCGGUCCAAGUUCCUUGGAACAGGACGUCACAGAGGGUGAGAAUCCCGUACGUGGUCGCUAGCCUUUACCGUGUAAAGCCCCUUCGACGAGUCGAGUUGUUUGGGAAUGCAGCUCUAAAUGGGAGGUAAAUUUCUUCUAAAGCUAAAUACUGGCCAGAGACCGAUAGCGCACAAGUAGAGUGAUCGAAAGAUGAAAAGCACUUUGGAAAGAGAGUUAAAAAGCACGUGAAAUUGUUGAAAGGGAAGCGCUUGCAGCCAGACUUGCCUGUAGUUGCUCAUCCGGGUUUUUACCCGGUGCACUCUUCUAUAGGCAGGCCAGCAUCAGUUUGGGCGGUUGGAUAAAGGUCUCUGUCAUGUACCUCUCUUCGGGGAGAACUUAUAGGGGAGACGACAUGCAACCAGCCCGGACUGAGGUCCGCGCAUCUGCUAGGAUGCUGGCGUAAUGGCUGU
RNAcentral lists this ribosomal RNA (604 nucleotides) under uncultured fungus. Its description in RNAcentral is "eukaryotic LSU rRNA". It matches the Rfam family "Eukaryotic large subunit ribosomal RNA", at positions 23 to 641 of the family's 3401-position model. Lineage: Eukaryota; Fungi. The record is from RNAcentral.